UAAUAUACCUGGCAGGGGAGAUACCAUGAUCACAAAGGUGGUCUUCCCAGGGCGAGGGUUAUCCAUUGCACUCCAGAUGUGCCGACCCCUGCGAUUUCCCCAAAUGUGGGAAACCCAACUGCAUAGUUGUGAUAGUGGGGGGCAAGGGGGAAGAUAGUUGCCAACACCAU
Myotis brandtii (Brandt's bat) is the source of this 170-nucleotide non-coding RNA. NCBI's taxonomy places the organism in Eukaryota, Metazoa, Chordata, Mammalia, Chiroptera, Vespertilionidae. The record is from Rfam.